GUACACUCCUACGGGAGGCAGCAGUGAGGAAUAUUGGACAAUGGGUGGAAGCCUGAUCCAGCCAUCCCGCGUGCAGGAAGACGGCCCUAUGGGUUGUAAACUGCUUUUAUCUGGGGAUAAACCUACUUACGUGUAAGUAGCUGAAGGUACCAGAAGAAUAAGCACCGGCUAACUCCGUGCCAGCAGCCGCGGUAAUACGGAGGGUGCAAGCGUUAUCCGGAUUUAUUGGGUUUAAAGGGUCCGUAGGCGGACUGAUAAGUCAGUGGUUAAAUCCGACAGCUUAACUGUCGAACUGCCAUUGAUACUGUUAGUCUUGAGUAAGGUUGAAGUGGCUGGAAUAAGUAGUGUAGCGGUGAAAUGCAUAGAUAUUACUUAUAACACCAAUUGCGAAGGCAGGUCACUAAGUCUUAACUGACGCUGAUGGACGAAAGCGUGGGGAGCGAACAGGAUUAGAAACCCUAGUAGUCCCAUGA
Molecule: ribosomal RNA, 473 nt
Filed under: uncultured organism
Description: partial 16S ribosomal RNA
Rfam family: Bacterial small subunit ribosomal RNA
Source: RNAcentral